AACACUGUUAACCUGCGGUACCUGCGGAAGGAUCAUUACCGAGUGCGGGUCCGCGUGGCCCAACCUCCCACCCGUGCCUAUUGUACCCUGUUGCUUCGGCGGGCCCGCCAGCCUUCGGGCUGGCCGCCGGGGGGCGUCUCGCCCCCGGGCCCGUGCCCGCCGGAGACCCCAACAUGAACCCUGUUCUGAAAGCUUGGUGUCUGAGUGUGAUUGUUUGCAAUCAGUUAAAACUUUCAGCAA
This 240-nucleotide unclassified non-coding RNA is filed under the name soil metagenome. RNAcentral's name for it is "partial contains 5.8S ribosomal RNA, internal transcribed spacer 2, and large subunit ribosomal RNA". The record is from RNAcentral.